UGGCAAGAGAUGUUGACAUCUCCAGAUAUGU
RNAcentral lists this non-coding RNA (31 nucleotides) under Mus musculus (house mouse). Lineage: Eukaryota; Metazoa; Chordata; Mammalia; Rodentia; Muridae. The record is from RNAcentral.